This is a long non-coding RNA of Megalobrama amblycephala (Wuchang bream), 1101 nucleotides long. RefSeq lists it as uncharacterized. The transcript is spliced from 3 exons. The record is from RefSeq and is a predicted model, not a curated record. NCBI's taxonomy places the organism in Eukaryota, Metazoa, Chordata, Actinopteri, Cypriniformes, Xenocyprididae.
UACCGGGCAAAUGCCCGGUGGGCCGACGCGCUUGGGGGCGGGGCCGCGAUAUGAUAUGAUUUUUUUUUUUUUUUAAUAAACAUAAAAUUGGCCAACGAUCGGCCCAUAAAGCAGGGACAGCGGCCCAUUGGUUCAUUUUCCAUAUUGACACUGGGCUGGCCCAAUCACAUCUCUUAACAGACUCCACCCCGUCCCCUCUGUUUCGUGUGUCAGGUCAGAUCAGAUGCAGUGGCUCAGAGCCAAAACAUCUGUGGAUUAGGAGGAUGGAGAAACAAAAGCGCAAGUGCAAGGGGGUGCGGAGAAGUUGCGGGCAAAUUUUUUUUUUUUUUUAAAUGUAGAGGUCGAUGCCUCAAACGUGCAAAAAUUACUGACAUGUUUAGUGCGGUUACUGUAGCUUCAGUUUCCAAACCUACAGUACCUGACGACGUGCAAAAACAGGUGAACAUAGAAGAACAUGGAGACACCUGUCAGGCAGAGGAGCAGCAGGUGUCUGACAGUGAAGUCAGUGAGGGACAGAGUAAGCAGGAGAGUAUAAUAGAAGCGGAUGCCCUCAUUAUUGUGGUUCAUUGUUCAUAGUUUUUGAGGGUGUUCAGAGGGCCAUGCAAGCCCUACUCCACUGCCACCUUUGAUCACCAGAGAGUCAGUCAAGAGAGAGUGAGUACACUGGUCCACUUGCACUUACUACUCAGCUUUGUAGGGGCUUUCGGGAAUGAAACAGUAGGUAUGCAUAUUUACAGGGACCGCAAGGAAGGUGUACUCGUGGGUGGCGUCCGACCGAUUGUGGUGGGCCGGUCUGAGCAAAAAUGCCAGGGCCAUUUUUUUGUCCCAGUCCAGCCCUGGGCUGGACCACCUCUUCCGGGCCGACGACAGAUAUUAUCCAGGCGUCGACAGGGUCCAGCGAGCGUCGAGAAAUAACGAGGCUAGGCACGACUCCAAACUCAGUCCAAAAAGGCGUAGAACAACAUGCAAGCUUCAACCUCACCAACCGGCCGCUGCCUUUUCCCCGGCGGCGGGUGCGCUUUCGUCGGCGGACACGCCUAAAAGAUGGAGCCGGGGCGCGCCAAAGGUGAGGCGGGAGCCUCGCCAGGAGCGGGGGCAAAG